GACGAACGUUGGCGGCGUGCUUAACACAUGCAAGUCGAACGGAAAGGCCCUGCUUUUGUGGGGUGCUCGAGUGGCGAACGGGUGAGUAACACGUGAGUAACCUGCCCUUGACUUUGGGAUAACUUCAGGAAACUGGGGCUAAUACCGGAUAGGAGCUCCUGCUGCAUGGUGGGGGUUGGAAAGUUUCGGCGGUUGGGGAUGGACUCGCGGCUUAUCAGCUUGUUGGUGGGGUAGUGGCUUACCAAGGCUUUGACGGGUAGCCGGCCUGAGAGGGUGACCGGCCACAUUGGGACUGAGAUACGGCCCAGACUCCUACGGGAGGCAGCAGUGGGGAAUAUUGCACAAUGGGCGGAAGUCUGAUGCAGCAACGCCGCGUGCGGGAUGACGGCCUUCGGGUUGUAAACCGCUUUCGCCUGUGACGAAGCGUGAGUGACGGUAAUGGGUAAAGAAGCACCGGCUAACUACGUGCCAGCAGCCGCGGUGAUACGUAGGGUGCGAGCGUUGUCCGGAUUUAUUGGGCGUAAAGGGCUCGUAGGUGGUUGAUCGCGUCGGAAGUGUAAUCUUGGGGCUUAACCCUGAGCGUGCUUUCGAUACGGGUUGACUUGAGGAAGGUAGGGGAGAAUGGAAUUCCUGGUGGAGCGGUGGAAUGCGCAGAUAUCAGGAGGAACACCAGUGGCGAAGGCGGUUCUCUGGGCCUUUCCUGACGCUGAGGAGCGAAAGCGUGGGGAGCGAACAGGCUUAGAUACCCUGGUAGUCCACGCUGUAAACGGUGGGUACUAGGUGUGGGGUCCAUUCCACGGGUUCCGUGCCGUAGCUAACGCUUUGAGUACCCCGCCUGGGGAGUACGGCCGCAAGGCUAAAACUCAAAGGAAUUGACGGGGCCCCGCACAAGCGGCGGAGCAUGCGGAUUAAUUCGAUGCAACGCGUAGAACCUUACCUGGGUUUGACAUGGAUCGGGAGUGCUCAGAGAUGGGUGUGCCUCUUUUGGGGUCGGUUCACAGGUGGUGCAUGGCUGUCGUCAGCUCGUGUCGUGAGAUGUUGGGUUAAGUCCCGCAACGAGCGCAACCCUUGUUCACUGUUGCCAGCACGUUAUGGUGGGGACUCAGUGGAGACCGCCGGGGUCAACUCGGAGGAAGGUGGGGAUGACGUCAAGUCAUCAUGCCCCUUAUGUCCAGGGCUUCACGCAUGCUACAAUGGCUGGUACAGAGAGUGGCGAGCCUGUGAGGGUGAGCGAAUCUCGGAAAGCCGGUUUCAGUUCGGAUUGGGGUCUGCAACUCGACCUCAUGAAGUCGGAGUCGCUAGUAAUCGCAGAUCAGCAACGCUGCGGUGAAUACGUUCCCGGGGCU
RNAcentral lists this ribosomal RNA (1346 nucleotides) under uncultured bacterium. RNAcentral describes it as "partial 16S ribosomal RNA". It matches the Rfam family "Bacterial small subunit ribosomal RNA", at positions 28 to 1381 of the family's 1533-position model. The record is from RNAcentral.